GAGCGCACCUAUAAAUUCUAUUAUCUAUGAUCAUAGGUAUAGAAAGAAUUUUUAUCUAUGGAUCUUCCGGCUUUUCUGCACAACUCUGAUGUCUGAUCUUGUCAUCUUGUCUUGGAGCAUUGGGAAUUGCCAGGCAUUGCAGAGCAUUGUUUGAGACGAAGAAAAUUCGCCAUUUUUGCUGUUCAGAAAUACAAACUACGCCUGAAGACUUGCUGUGAGGUAACAUCCUUGUAUUAGAUGGACAAACUACCUACUUAUGAUCCAAUGUUUGCGGCAGUGAGACUUAUUUUUUUUUUUCAUUGGACACAGGAUGACAGUUAUUAUUAAUAAUAAUAAAUUAAUAAGGACCGGGACAGGGCAAAUCAAAAGGGGUCGGAACGUGAAAAAGUGGAGCACCUCUCUGGAAAGGUUGUCAUUUAAACAUAUUAAAUGAGCAUUGAUAUGACAAACAAGGACUCGAAACCUGAAGAAGUGCAACACCAUUAGCGCUCCCUCCUUUGGACUUAGGGCUGUUUGUGGAAGAGGUAUUGCAGUUUUUCAAAAAAUACUACAUGCUUCAUUUCCUCAUCAGUGGUUUUUUCUUUUCAUAAGUGUCUACUGUUAGAGGCACUUUUCUGUUGUGAACGCUUAAGGAAUAAAACUGAAGCAUCGUACAGUAAUCCUCUAGAUUACCCAACAAUUGAGAGAAUUAAAGUUAAGGAAGAUUGUGCAGAAAUAAACAAGAUCUACAAUGGUGCUGUCUUUCCUUGACUGAAUAAUUGAUUUGCUGUUUCGUCUUCGCUUUGCAACAUCAUGCAGUUAAUUUUCAACCCAUGAGUGAGAGCAACUGGUUAUUUGAAUUCCACUGAAACAACAAAUUGUCUGCAGUGGUAUCCCUCCCAGAUAUGGUUUGCUCAACACACUGGAAGACUAGAACGCCACUUUCUACAAUUAAUUAAGGUGAGAAUACAUUAAUUCAUUAUU
This is a long non-coding RNA of Agrilus planipennis (emerald ash borer), 963 nucleotides long. RefSeq lists it as uncharacterized. The record is from RefSeq and is a predicted model, not a curated record. The transcript has 5 exons. Lineage: Eukaryota; Metazoa; Arthropoda; Insecta; Coleoptera; Buprestidae.